UACGAAGGGGGCUAGCGUUGCUCGGAAUUACUGGGCGUAAAGGGAGCGUAGGCGGAUAGUUUAGUCAGAGGUGAAAGCCCAGGGCUCAACCUUGGAAUUGCCUUUGAUACUGGCUAUCUUGAGUGUGGGAGAGGUGUGUGGAACUCCGAGUGUAGAGGUGAAAUUCGUAGAUAUUCGGAGGAACACCAGUGGCGAAGGCGGCUCACUGGCUCGGUACUGACGCUGAGGUGCGAAAGCGUGGGGAGCAAACAGG
RNAcentral lists this ribosomal RNA (253 nucleotides) under uncultured bacterium. Its description in RNAcentral is "partial 16S ribosomal RNA". It matches the Rfam family "Bacterial small subunit ribosomal RNA", at positions 524 to 776 of the family's 1533-position model. The record is from RNAcentral.